AGGUGCAUACAGGCUAUCGCGCUAUGAGCAAUCAUGGUGAGGAAAGUCCGAGCACUCCUACCGAAAGGUAGAGACGGGUAGCGGGUAACGCCCGCAUGGCGCAAGCCAAGAGGUGCGAGCAGAGACGUCCAAUUUUGAAAAGAAUUGGAAAGCGAACCCAGCGUCCUUGAUUUAUCAUGGACCGAGCUUAGUCACGGUUGUGGGCUCAAAACCGUGAGUGAAACGGCUAAAUCCUUACUCGGGUGCAAGUACAGCGUUCAUUGGGGCAACCUGAUGUUCGAAAAGUUCGUACGCUACAGGUGGGUGGCAACACUCAUCGCAGAUAAAUGAUAGUCAUCUAUGCGUCGUGAGGCGUGCAGACACAGAACUCGGCUUAUCGUAUGCAUCUGCCA
This 392-nucleotide RNase P RNA is filed under the name Minisyncoccota bacterium. RNAcentral's name for it is "RNase P RNA component class A". It matches the Rfam family "Bacterial RNase P class A". Rfam says of the family: Ribonuclease P (RNase P) is a ubiquitous endoribonuclease, found in archaea, bacteria and eukarya as well as chloroplasts and mitochondria. Its best characterised activity is the generation of mature 5'-ends of tRNAs by cleaving the 5'-leader elements of precursor-tRNAs. Cellular RNase Ps are ribonucleoproteins. Lineage: Bacteria; Bacillati; Minisyncoccota. The record is from RNAcentral.